This 949-nucleotide ribosomal RNA is filed under the name termite gut metagenome. RNAcentral describes it as "bacterial SSU rRNA". It matches the Rfam family "Bacterial small subunit ribosomal RNA", at positions 8 to 955 of the family's 1533-position model. The record is from RNAcentral.
AGAGUUUGAUCCUGGCUCAGGAUGAACGCUAGCGAUAGGCUUAACACAUGCAAGUUGCGGGGCAUCGGGGGUAGCAAUACCUGCCGGCGACCGGCGUACGGGUGAGUAACGCGUAUGCAACCUGGCCUACACAGGGGAAUAGCCCAUGGAAACGUGGAUUAAUGCCCCAUAUUAUAUAAAAACUUCCUGGUUUUUAUAUGAAAGCUCCGGCGGUGUAGGAUGGGCAUGCGUCCCAUUAGGUAGUAGGCGGGGUAACGGCCCACCUAGCCUGUGAUGGGUAGGGGUUCUGAGAGGAAGGUCCCCCACACUGGAACUGAGACACGGUCCAGACUCCUACGGGAGGCAGCAGUGAGGAAUAUUGGUCAAUGGGCAAACGCCUGAACCAGCCAAAUCGCGUGAGGGACGACAGCCCUAUGGGUUUUAAACCUCUUUUAUUCGGGAAGAAUAAGUACCACGCGUGGUAUGAUGCCAGUACCGAAUGAAUAAGCAUCGGCUAACUCCGUGCCAGCAGCCGCGGUAAUACGGAGGAUGCGAGCGUUAUCCGGAUUUAUUGGGUUUAAAGGGUGCGUAGGCGGCAUUAUAAGUUAGUGGUCAAAUCUUCAGGCUUCACCUGGAAUUGCCAUUAAAACUGUAGAGCUAGAGUAUGUUUGAGGCAGGCGGAAUAAGUUAAGUAGCGGUGAAAUGCAUAGAUAUAACUUAGAACACCGAUAGCGCAGGCAGCUUGCCAAGCCAUAACUGACGCUGAAGCACGAAAGCAUGGGUAGCGAACAGGAUUAGAUACCCUGGUAGUCCAUGCCGUAAACGAUGCUUACUGGCAUUCGUAGAUAUGACAUACGGAUGUUGAUAGAAAUAAUUAAGUAAGCCACCUGGGGAGUACGUUCGCAAGAAUGAAACUCAAAGGAAUUGACGGGGGCCCGCACAAGCGGAGGAACAUGUGGUUUAAUUCGAU